Molecule: transfer RNA, 76 nt
Filed under: Porphyrobacter sp.
Lineage: Bacteria; Pseudomonadati; Pseudomonadota; Alphaproteobacteria; Sphingomonadales; Erythrobacteraceae
Also listed under: 159 other names
Description: tRNA-Trp
Rfam family: tRNA
About the family: Transfer RNA (tRNA) molecules are approximately 80 nucleotides in length. Their secondary structure includes four short double-helical elements and three loops (D, anti-codon, and T loops).
Source: RNAcentral
AGGAGUGUAGCUCAGUUGGUAGAGCAUCGGUCUCCAAAACCGAGGGCCGUGGGUUCGAGUCCCUCCACUCCUGCCA